RNAcentral lists this ribosomal RNA (497 nucleotides) under uncultured bacterium. Its description in RNAcentral is "partial 16S ribosomal RNA". It matches the Rfam family "Bacterial small subunit ribosomal RNA", at positions 28 to 507 of the family's 1533-position model. The record is from RNAcentral.
GAUGAACGCUGGCGGCGUGCCUAAUACAUGCAAGUCGAGCGAACAGAUAAGGAGCUUGCUCCUUUGACGUUAGCGGCGGACGGGUGAGUUACACGUGGAUAACCUACCUAUAAGACUGGGAUAACUUCGGGAAACCGGAGCUAAUACCGGAUAACAUAUUGAACCGCAUGGUUCAAUAGUGAAAGGCGGCUUUGCUGUCACUUAUAGAUGGAUCCGCGCCGUAUUAGCUAGUUGGUAAGGUAACGGCUUACCAAGGCAACGAUACGUAGCCGACCUGAGAGGGUGAUCGGCCACACUGGAACUGAGACACGGUCCAGACUCCUACGGGAGGCAGCAGUAGGGAAUCUUCCGCAAAGGGCGAAAGCCUGACGGAGCAACGCCGCGUGAGUGAUGAAGGUCUUCGGAUCGUAAAACUCUGUCAUCAGGGAAGAACAAAUGUGUAAGUAACUGUGCACAUCUUGACGGUACCUGAUCAGAAAGCCACGGCUAACUACGUG